AUCCAAUAAGAGUAGAGUAGAACUGAAGAUGUCAUAAUUA
Molecule: non-coding RNA, 40 nt
Filed under: Trypanosoma brucei brucei
Lineage: Eukaryota; Euglenozoa; Kinetoplastea; Trypanosomatida; Trypanosomatidae
Source: RNAcentral